GGCGGACGCUGGCGGCGUGCUUAACACAUGCAAGUCGAACGGAAAGGCCCUGCUUUUGUGGGGUGCUCGAGUGGCGAACGGGUGAGUAACACGUGAGUAACCUGCCCUUGACUUUGGGAUAACUUCAGGAAACUGGGGCUAAUACCGGAUAGGAGCUCCUGCUGCAUGGUGGGGGUUGGAAAGUUUCGGCGGUUGGGGAUGGACUCGCGGCUUAUCAGCUUGUUGGUGGGGUAGUGGCUUACCAAGGCUUUGACGGGUAGCCGGCCUGAGAGGGUGACCGGCCACAUUGGGACUGAGAUACGGCCCAGACUCCUACGGGAGGCAGCAGUGGGGAAUAUUGAACAAUGGGCGGAAGCCUGAUGCAGCAACGCCGCGUGCGGGAUGACGGCCUUCGGGUUGUAAACCGCUUUCGCCUGUGACGAAGCGUGAGUGACGGUAAUGGGUAAAGAAGCACCGGCUAACUACGUG
This 468-nucleotide ribosomal RNA is filed under the name uncultured bacterium. Its description in RNAcentral is "partial 16S ribosomal RNA". It matches the Rfam family "Bacterial small subunit ribosomal RNA", at positions 28 to 507 of the family's 1533-position model. The record is from RNAcentral.